RNAcentral lists this ribosomal RNA (392 nucleotides) under uncultured bacterium. Its description in RNAcentral is "partial 16S ribosomal RNA". It matches the Rfam family "Bacterial small subunit ribosomal RNA", at positions 523 to 918 of the family's 1533-position model. The record is from RNAcentral.
AUACGGAGGAUCCGAGCGUUAUCCGGAUUUACUGGGUUUAAAGGGUGCGCAGGCGGCCAUUUAAGUCAGCGGUUAAAUCGUGGGGCUCAACCCCAUUCUGCCGUUGAUACUGGGUGGCUUGAUUGCGGUCGAGGUUGGCGGAAUUCGUUGUGUAGCGGUGAAAUGCAUAGAUAUGACGAAGAACACCGAUUGCGUAGGCAGCUGACCAGACCGCAAAUGACGCUCAUGCACGAAAGUGCGGGGAUCGAACAGGAUUAGAUACCCUGGUAGUCCGCACAGUAAACGAUGAAUACUUGUUUUCGGCGAUAUAAUGUCGGAGGCAAAGCGAAAGCGAUAAGUAUUCCACCUGGGGAGUACGCCGGCAAUGGUGAAACUCAAAUGAAUUGACGGGG